GAUUCCAUAGUGUAGCAGCACGUCUGCUUUACACACAGAAGAUCCUGGGUUCACGCCCCAGUGGAGCCA
This 69-nucleotide transfer RNA is filed under the name Pteropus alecto (black flying fox). It matches the Rfam family "tRNA". From Rfam's summary of the family: Transfer RNA (tRNA) molecules are approximately 80 nucleotides in length. Their secondary structure includes four short double-helical elements and three loops (D, anti-codon, and T loops). The record is from Rfam by way of RNAcentral. Lineage: Eukaryota; Metazoa; Chordata; Mammalia; Chiroptera; Pteropodidae.